UCGGCCGUCCGAGUUGUAAUCUAGAGAAGCGUCUUCCGCGCCGGACCGUGUACAAGUCUCCUGGAAGGGAGCAUCGUAGAGGGUGACAAUCCCGUCUCUGACACGGACCGCCGGCGCUAUGUGAUGCGCUCUCGACGAGUCGAGUUGUUUGGGAAUGCAGCUCAAAUCGGGUGGUAAACUCCAUCUAAAGCUAAAUACAGGCGAGAGACCGAUAGCGAACAAGUACCGUGAGGGAAAGAUGAAAAGAACUUUGGAAAGAGAGUUAAACAGUACGUGAAAUUGCUGGAAGGGAAACGCUUGACGUCAGUCGCGUCGUCCGGGGAUCAACCUUGCUUCUCGCUGGGCGUAUUUCCCGGUCGACGGGUCAGCAUCGAUUUCGAUCGUCGUAGAAGGACGGGAGCGAAUGUGGCACUCUACGGAGUGUGUUAUAGCCUCUCGUAUGGAUGCGACGGCCGGGAUCGAGGAACUCGGCACGACCCCUCGAGGGUUCGGGGCUUCGGUCCACGCGCGUGCCCAGGAUGCUGGCAUAAUGGCUUUAAGCGACCCGUCUUGAAACACGGACCAAGGAGUCUAACGUGCCUGCGAGUGUUUGGGUGCAAAACCCGAGCGCGCAACGAAAGUGAAAGUCGAGACCUCCGUCGUGGAGGGCACCGACGCCCGGACCGGAGCCUUUGGCGAUGGAUCUGCGGUAGAGCAUGUAUGUUGGGACCCGAAAGAUGGUGAACUAUGCCUGAAUAGGGCGAAGCCAGAGGAAACUCUGGUGGAGGCUCGUAGCGAUUCUGACGUGCAAAUCGAUCGUC
This 800-nucleotide ribosomal RNA is filed under the name Scleroderma sp. RNAcentral's name for it is "partial large subunit ribosomal RNA". It matches the Rfam family "Eukaryotic large subunit ribosomal RNA", at positions 130 to 906 of the family's 3401-position model. The record is from RNAcentral. Lineage: Eukaryota; Fungi; Basidiomycota; Agaricomycetes; Boletales; Sclerodermataceae.